RNAcentral lists this ribosomal RNA (840 nucleotides) under Triticum aestivum (bread wheat). RNAcentral's name for it is "partial small subunit ribosomal RNA". The record is from RNAcentral. Lineage: Eukaryota; Viridiplantae; Streptophyta; Magnoliopsida; Poales; Poaceae.
AUGAAGCUGCCAUCUGGUAUAGGUAACCUGACUUCCUUAGAAAUGCUAGGUCAACUAGGGGUGUCUGGCAUGCACCUCGAUGCUGUGAAAGAAUUGGGCCAUCUGACCAAGCUCAGGGUGCUCCGGGUUUUAUGUAACUGUUUGGAUGAGGCCUCGGAUAAAGCUUUGGAGGAAUCACUUGGUAAUCUGCACAAAUUGGAAAGUUUAGAGAUAGAGAUAUUUACCGAAGAUGAAUUAAUAAAUUUGUUGAGCAAAGAUUGGGUGCCCCCUUUAACACUCCGUAAGUUGGAUUUCCGGUCAGUCUAUAGCCGGUUCCAGGCACUACCGUUAUGGAUCAAUCCUUUAUCCCUUCCUCUCCUCACCCAUCUUCGUAUCAAAUUGGAUGAAGUGCGGUGGGAAGUCAUCCAGCUUCUUGGAACGAUGCCUGCUCUUUGUGUUCUCGAGAUAUGUGAUUUUUCUAAGGUCUGUGGAUGUGAAGAGUAUACGGUGGAAAUGCCCGCACUUCCAUCUGGUGCGUUAUUCCCAUGUGCCCGGGUGUGCCGCUUCAUUGGUAUUGGUGCCGUGCCGUCUAUGUUUCCACUAGGAGCUGCGCCGAGGCUUAAACACCUUUUGUUCGCCUUCUCAGCUGAGUGGAUCUCCCAUGAAAACUUAGAUUUGGGCAUGCGGCACCUCCCUUCCCUCCAGCGAGUUGAGGUUAGCAUUAUCAAUGCAGAGGCGAAUGAAGCAGAGGCUGCGCUGAGGGCCACGGUGGAGGACCACUCCAACCAUCCCAUCCUUGCCUUUGACAUCAUCUGUUCAUCCUGCCAGCGUUCAGGUUCGCAGAGCUUACCUCUGUUGUAA